Long non-coding RNA from Benincasa hispida (wax gourd), 423 nucleotides. RefSeq lists it as uncharacterized. The record is from RefSeq and is a predicted model, not a curated record. NCBI's taxonomy places the organism in Eukaryota, Viridiplantae, Streptophyta, Magnoliopsida, Cucurbitales, Cucurbitaceae.
UCUCGGCUCUGUUAAAUUAUUCUUUAUUCAACAGAGAAGAAUGCGACUUUUGCAAUGGAGAAAUCGAGGACUACCCAUUUAUCCCUUUUUCUAAAUUUUGAAUCUUUGAUGAGGAUACAUGCCGUUCUGUCUUGGCAGCCACAAGCACAUGCUUUACAAGGAGUGACUUUUGAGUUAUAGAAAGAUGACAUGGAGACACAGCAGGUUGGCGUUUCAGAAGCAAGAAACUGUGAAUAAGAGCAUGUCACAUUCCAAGUCACUGCAAAAAACAAGGGAGUUUGACGAUGGCAGCAAUAACUAUGUGGAAAAUAGUCUUGUAGGUAUCUCAUGAAUCCUCCCUAUCUUUGGAGUUUUGAACAGUAAGACAUGUAAGUGAACAUAAAAUAUGGAUAUCUUUUAUUAUAGUUUGGUGUAGUUAUGAUA